This 361-nucleotide long non-coding RNA is filed under the name Phasianus colchicus (ring-necked pheasant). RNAcentral describes it as "lncRNA (ENSPCLG00000010922.1)". Lineage: Eukaryota; Metazoa; Chordata; Aves; Galliformes; Phasianidae. The record is from RNAcentral.
UUAAUUUAUAGAAAAGGUGAAGGGAAAUGGAAAUAAUAAUAUGUGCUGUGUAACGUGGGCCCAUGAUCUGUCAGCAUUUGCCAAGCACGACCAAGACCUAUUAUGCAGCUGCAAAAUACAGGUGGCAUGGAUUGCUGUUGAGUGAGUAUGACAUGUUUUUCAAAGGCAGAAAAAUGAAGUCAACAGUCACACGACUAAUUGACAAUCAUUAGUGAGUUGAUCUUUUGCACCAAUUGUUGGUUUAAGGAUUGAAAAAUCUAUCAUUAUCCCUGACAGCAAAAAUUAGCUUGGUGAGAUUCCAGCUCUCAGUUGACUAAUUAACUUCUUUAAUGCUGAUAGACUUCCACCAGGCUCACCUAGG